RNAcentral lists this ribosomal RNA (499 nucleotides) under uncultured bacterium. RNAcentral describes it as "partial 16S ribosomal RNA". It matches the Rfam family "Bacterial small subunit ribosomal RNA", at positions 28 to 507 of the family's 1533-position model. The record is from RNAcentral.
GACGAACGCUGGCGGCGUGCCUAAUACAUGCAAGUCGAGCGAAGUUUUUCUGGUGCUUGCACUAGAAAAACUUAGCGGCGAACGGGUGAGUAACACGUAAAGAACCUGCCUCAUAGACUGGGACAACUAUUGGAAACGAUAGCUAAUACCGGAUAACAGUAUUUCUCGCAUGAGAGAUAUUUAAAAGUUGGUUAUGCUAACACUAUGAGAUGGCUUUGCGGUGCAUUAGCUAGUUGGUGGGGUAAAGGCCCACCAGGGCGACGAUGCAUAGCCGACCUGAGAGGGUGAUCGGCCACACUGGGACUGAGACACGGCCCAGACUCCUACGGGAGGCAGCAGUAGGGAAUCUUCCGCAAUGGGCGAAAGCCUGACGGAGCAACGCCGCGUGAGUGAAGAAGGAUUUCGGUUCGUAAAGCUCUGUUGUUAGGGAAGAAUGGAUAUGUAGUAACUAUACAUGUAAGAGACGGUACCUAACCAGAAAGCCACGGCUAACUACGUG